Non-coding RNA from Ictidomys tridecemlineatus (thirteen-lined ground squirrel), 713 nucleotides. Lineage: Eukaryota; Metazoa; Chordata; Mammalia; Rodentia; Sciuridae. The record is from RefSeq and is a predicted model, not a curated record.
CUUCACAAGUAAAGAUUGAGAUCAACACCUUCACUUUUGUGUCUGUGUUGUUUCUCCAGCCCCUCUUUCACCGACUCCUCACCAUCCGUUCGUCUCCUGAGACCCCCUGUUGAAGCUGGUCUCCGACAUCUGGCGCCCCCCGAACAGGGACGAUCGGUAAUCCGACGCUACUUCACCUUUGUGGAAUCCAGAUCGACUCAUCAGACAUUAUGACUCACCUAUAUUGCAGGCGGAGGUUUCUCCCCAAGCCAUACCCAAGGAUGCCAUCGACCCAGGAUGAAGAACUUGCUGAGGACAUGACUAAUCUUCCCCUUCAUUCCCCUCGACAGGCAGGAACAACAUUGACAUCAAAAUUACCUUCCUGGGGUCAAAUCAAACAUCUGACCAGUCAGGCACAAAACUUGGUUGUUAGCCAAGGUGCCUCUGCCUCUCCUGAAAAAGUGUUUCUUGCUAUGCUAGCACUCUUGUCUUUUAAGGUAUCACUGAUUUCUACUAAUCAAUCUUAUUGGGCUUAUUUUCCUGAUACUCCUUUUUUAAGAGUUAUUGAUUGGGGAAAACUUAAUAUUAAGGUAUUUACUGAUAAUCCUGAUUUUUUAGGAGGGAUUUCUGAUUCCCUUAUUCCUCAUAAGAUGUCCUAUAAUAUGAAUUUCAAGGGUUUAAUAGAAGAGACUCCUAUUUGCUUUGCUACUGAUAAUAAAUUCAUCCCUCAAGGA